GACGAACGCUGGCGGCGUGGAUUAGGCAUGCAAGUCGAACGGUAUCAUCCUUUCGGGGGUGAGAGAGUGGCGAACUGGUGAGUAACACGUAGGUUAUCUACCCUCAAGACGGGGACAACCCGGGGAAACUUGGGCUAAUACCGGAUGUGAGCAACUUUUAGUUGUUUGAAAGGUGGCGUAAGCUGUCGCUUGGGGAUGAGCCUGCGUCCUAUUAGUUAGUUGGUGAGGUAACGGCUCACCUAGGCAAUGAUAGGUAGGCGGCCUUAACGGGUGGUCGCCCACACUGGGAUUGAGAUACGGCCCAGACUCCUACGGGAGGCAGCAGUCGAGAAUAGUCUACAAUGGUCGGAAGACUGAUAGUGCGACGCCGCGUGAACGAUGAAUCCCUUCGGGGUGUAAAGUUCUUUUAUAUGUGAGCAGUGCUUUCUUAUAUUAACAGUAUGGGGAAGAGAUAUUAGCAUAUGAAUAAGCAACGGCUAACUCCGUGCCAGCAGCCGCGGUAAU
Molecule: ribosomal RNA, 504 nt
Filed under: uncultured bacterium
Lineage: Bacteria
Description: bacterial SSU rRNA
Rfam family: Bacterial small subunit ribosomal RNA
Source: RNAcentral